UACAGAGGGUGCAAGCGUUAAUCGGAAUUACUGGGCGUAAAGCGUGCGCAGGCGGUUCGUUAUGUCCGAUGUGAAAGCCCCGAGCUCAACUUGGGAAUGGCAUUGGAAACUGGCGGGCUGGAGUGUGGCAGAGGGGGGUGGAAUUCCACGUGUAGCAGUGAAAUGCGUAGAGAUGUGGAGGAACACCGAUGGCGAAGGCAGCCCCCUGGGCCAACACUGACGCUCAGGCACGAAAGCGUGGGGAGCAAACAGG
RNAcentral lists this ribosomal RNA (253 nucleotides) under uncultured bacterium. RNAcentral describes it as "partial 16S ribosomal RNA". It matches the Rfam family "Bacterial small subunit ribosomal RNA", at positions 524 to 776 of the family's 1533-position model. The record is from RNAcentral.